GGUAUGAAAGGGUUAACGAAGAAGGUGCUGUGUCUAAAAAUUCAAUUUAAACUAACUUUAAGGUGAAGAGGCCUUUAUGUAAAAGAAGGACGACAAGACCCUAUGAAGCUUUAUCUUAAUUGGAGCUCUCAGGCUCUUAUACGAUUUUGAUGGGAGAUCAGUAGAAAGAAGUCUUCUACUAUCAUAUUAAUCUUACUAGUAUUUCCUAACUUUAUAUGUGUGGCUAGCUACUCUAGGGAUAACAGCGCAAUUUCUCCCGAAAGAUGGUAUUGGAGGGGAAGAUUGCGACCUCGAUGUUGGCUUUAGAUAUCCUAGAGGCGUAGAAGCUUCU
This 331-nucleotide ribosomal RNA is filed under the name Mytilus galloprovincialis (Mediterranean mussel). Its description in RNAcentral is "partial 16S ribosomal RNA". It matches the Rfam family "Bacterial large subunit ribosomal RNA", at positions 1989 to 2566 of the family's 2925-position model. Lineage: Eukaryota; Metazoa; Mollusca; Bivalvia; Mytilida; Mytilidae. The record is from RNAcentral.